Cucumis melo (muskmelon) is the source of this 3010-nucleotide RNA transcript. It is a transcript of the gene named U-box domain-containing protein 4-like, with no coding region annotated. The transcript has 5 exons. The record is from RefSeq and is a predicted model, not a curated record. NCBI's taxonomy places the organism in Eukaryota, Viridiplantae, Streptophyta, Magnoliopsida, Cucurbitales, Cucurbitaceae.
AUUCAGUCCAACCAAACCACUGCUCUCUCUCUCACCUCACGCACGAGCCGUCGUUUUGGCGAAGUAUGAACGCGUUGACCCUACCGUUAAUCCUCUUCCAGCCGGAGCAACCGUCGCGGCAUAAUCAAAUUUCUCGACUACUACUAAAGCAACUCCAAUUCAAAUUCAUCGAAACCUUACCCAAAUUUCGUUACGUUUUUCCUCAUUUCCUUACAGACUUUCUCUUCCUUUAUCGGAACAAAACCCAUCCAACCAAUCCCAGGGAAAAGGAUAAAGCUGAGUUCAUACGCUUAAUGCUCAAAUUCGGUGUCUGCGACUAUUAGACGCGGUUCUGCAAAGAGAAUUAUUCAAUUCGAGAUCUAUAGAUCAAACAGGGAUUUGUUCCUGCGGCUAGUCGGCUCAAGAUUUCUUGAGUAAUUUGUCCUCAAACGGGAGGCUCGUAGAUAAGAAACUUAUUCACCAUAAGUAAAUGUGCGUUGAAGUAUCAGUAGGAGAGUGCUGGACCAAAUAUAGAUUUUUGGUGAAAAAUUUCAGACAAACUGCUCGAGGUCAGACUAGCAUAUUCUGAUGGAGAUUCUGGCUCAUAAUAAGUUGAAAAAGAAUGCCGAAGAAGUGGAAACCACUGGAGAAGCUGAACAUGUUGAUGAUAUCAUAACUCAAAGGUGUGAGCACAUACUUAGACUAGAGAAAUCCCGAAGUUGUGGCUCAGUUCCAAUAGUAGACACUAAUAUAAUACCAAAUUACAUUAGAAAGGCACAGAUGUCAAGUUUGGCCACGAUAAGCAAUAACAAGAAAUUUAUUAACUCUAUGAAGUUAGAGAACGUGAAACAAGUCGUUACUCCUGAAAAGUUGAAUCUAGGUGAUAGAAACCAUCUCCCCACAAGUUCUCGUUCUAAAUUUGUCAAUUCCUCCGAUGGUGUAUCUCAAAAUGGGGACAAGUUGGAUUUUGGAGGGUUGCCAGUCACAAGCUCAGAAAAUCGUCCCAAUGUCACUUUAGAUGAAAAAUCUCAAGUUCAUGAUAUUGUUUUCUUUGACUCUAAUGUUAAGCCUACUUUUUCACUAGUUAUAUCUAGGGAUUCAGAAGACACCACUUCAACAUUAUCAUCAAUUGAAUCAGCAGGUCGCACCAGGGAUGCUUCUGAAAAAGUAAAAUUAGAAUCACCAGCUCCUGCGACUCCAGCCUUCUUGCAAGUUGAACCACAACUCCCACGUAGAUUGUUGGUGGAAAGAAAAAGUGAUACAAUUGGGCAACAAGGACAAGAACUUCCCGAAAUUGUUUGUUCUUCUGUGGCUGACCACGAAUCUGAACUUGGGAGUGAUGAAGCUGGAAUUCAGAAGUUGGUUGAGGACUUGAAUAGCAAUUCACUUGAAACUAUUAGAGCUGCAAUAGCUGAAUUUCGAAGUCUUGCCAGGCAAAAUACUGAAAACCGGAUUUUGAUUGCCAAACAUGGAGCAAUCCCCUUUUUGGUCAAAUUGAUGUAUUCUACAGAUGCAAUAAUCCAAGAGCAUGCUGUUACAACACUUCUCAAUCUAUCAAUCCACAGUGACCACAAAAUCGCCAUUGCUGAGGCCAAUGUAAUUGAGCCUUUGAUUCACGUCCUUGUUACAGGAAGCCCUGAGGCAAGGGAGAACUCAGCUGCCACUUUCUUUAGCUUAGCUAUGCUCGUGGAAAACAGGGUAAAGAUUGGGAAGUCAGGGGCCAUUGGGCCUCUGGUUGAACUACUAGGUAAUGGGACUCCUAGGGGAAGGAAAGAUGCAACAACUGCAUUGUUUUAUCUGUCUAUGCUUCCAGAGAACAAGGUCAAGAUUGUGCAAGCUGGAGCUGUUAAGCAUCUUUUGGAGUUGAUGGAUCCAUCAGUUGGAAUGGUUGACAAGACGGUUGCUGUUCUAGCAAACCUUGCUACUAUUCAGGAGGGAAAGGUUGAAGUUGGUAGGAUGGGUGGGAUCCCUGUGUUGGUUGAGGCUAUUGAAUUGGGUUCUGCCAGAGGAAAAGAGAAUGCAGCAGCUGCACUAUUGCGGGUUUGCUCAACCUCUAACAGAUUUUGCAUAAUGGCUCUCCAAGAAGGAGUUAUUCCGCCCUUGGUGGCAUUGUCACAAUCUGGAACUCGGAGGGCGAAGGAUAAGGCUCAAGAACUGCUUAACCUCCUCAGAAAGCAUGUGCGUAGUAAUGUUGAAAAACACUAAUUUUGAGGUUCGGGAUCUGCUUAACGUCUUCAGAAAGCAUGUGAAUAGUAAUAUUGAAAGCCGAUAAUCUUAAAGUAUGCCUGACAAUUUUUGACAUUAACCUUGGAUGUCGCUGCUGUUGAAGGGGGGCAUGUAAAAUUUUUCAUGCUCCCAUAAUAUUACAUCAGGUAUCUGCGUAGAACAUUUUUCUGAUUUGUAAAUAGAUGGUGGAAAUGCAGUAAAAUUCAUUCAGAAAAAUGAAAAGAGUAAAGAGGCAGAAGUAAUUUCCAAUUAAUGUCUCGAUUUGAUUUGACUGUUUCAUAUUGGAAAAUUUUCCAGGUGGUAGCUGAAGGUUGCAUGGCUUUAAUAUGAAGAACUAAGAUGAGCAACCAAAGCUGAUCCCUCAUCAUCCACAAACAGUAACAGAUCCUCCAUUAUUGAAUUACCAUAUUGAUAUGAUAUUCAUUCAAUAUAAACUCAGUAAGACAAGAAUUACGUUUGGUUCCUAGUUUGGUGCUUUAUCAAGAGUGAACACUUGGAUACAGAUCCUUUAGGCUUGUGAUUUCUUCGGUAGCACUUUUUGAUUUGAUUGAAGCCUUUUAAUCAGAGCGAUGUAUUUAAAUCAAAGCAUGUUAUUUAGGAUACGAGGAUGAAGCUAAACUUGAUUAAUUAAAGAUAGAGUUUAUUUGUGCAUAGUUAAAUUCAUAGGAAAGAUCGUUGACGUUACAAACCCCGCGUUUCUUUCAAUGAAUCUCGUUGAAUUGACCAAAUAAAUUUCUUAUUGGGUGUUUUCAUAUGUGGGACAAAAUGUGAAUGGUUAAGUCUACUGGUCAUUGUUUCAAUUUUA